AUGUCCUGGACGAACGGGCGCUCCUCUCGAGCGUCCUCCUCCCGACGGCAGGACAUGCACGGGGCGGCAGAUCCGGCUGCUCCGGCGUGGAUCCGGCGACGGGGCGGACAGAUCGAGGUGGAGGAGCACGAGGCCGACCGAGAGGUGGCCAGCCGGAGGCGGUCAGAGCUCCAAGGCAGCGGGGGUGCUGCCUGGUUGUUCGGAUCGACGCGGAGGAGCACGAGGCCGACGAAGAGUAGGUGGCCGGCCCGGCGGCGGGGCGAGCUCCAAGGUAGCCGGACUGCUGCGCGUUGUUCUUUGGCGACUCCCUUCUCUCGAGAGGAUAAGGAAAAAGUUGAGAGAGAGGAGGAGAGGGGCGGCGGCAGCUGGGGUGGCUCGUGA
Molecule: ribosomal RNA, 381 nt
Filed under: Triticum aestivum (bread wheat)
Lineage: Eukaryota; Viridiplantae; Streptophyta; Magnoliopsida; Poales; Poaceae
Description: partial small subunit ribosomal RNA
Source: RNAcentral